This is a long non-coding RNA of Mastomys coucha (southern multimammate mouse), 1918 nucleotides long. RefSeq lists it as uncharacterized. Lineage: Eukaryota; Metazoa; Chordata; Mammalia; Rodentia; Muridae. The record is from RefSeq and is a predicted model, not a curated record. The transcript is spliced from 2 exons.
CCCUGUCCUGCAGACUCUACGAGCCCUCUCGCGGCAGCCACCAGUGGGCUACGGGGCGAUUCUGCAGCGACUCUUUCCCUGCCAAGGUUGAGCCUGGAUGGCGGCGGCCACUGCGCGGGGCCUCCACGAUUCCACCGGCCCCUUGCUCUCCAGUGUCGAGCCCACGGAGAAGCCCCACCUAGGCCUUUGAGGACGUCUCCGGGUGGCGAGGUGAGGCAGAAAGAAUGGCGGCCACCUGAAGGCCAAGGCUGGGCCUUCCGGGCUUCUGGAGCCUGAGGCGAACAGGGGUCUCAACGGGCCUGGGAGAAGGCGAGCGGGGCCCCGAAUGUUGAGAGGAACGAUCGAUUGCUGGGCCACCGCGGGUCUUCCUUCCACCCAAGAGAAGCAGAGACGCCAUGACCGCAUGCAGCCAAUCUGGAAACCUGGCAAUGACUUAACCUGCCACCGUAGAAGGCCUGUGGACAUAAUAUGAAAAACUCCUCUCAACCUUUCCCCCGACCCUUUUUAGGUUUUUGGCUAAAUCUGGACAUCUAACUGUAGAGAUUGCCAACGGAGGGUGAAGUAGAAGUAGGAGAUCACCUGUAUACCCAGUCGCCAUAAAAAGAAGAUCAUAGACACGUCUUCUACAAGUGACUUUGAAAUGGAAUUGUUUAGGCCGCCUCUAGAAAGACCCAGGAGCGACCCUAGUCUCUGUCUGUUCAGUAGCUUAGAGGACCCAGCAGGAGGAGGAGAUCCGGAGCCAGAUUGGUCAUGUGAAGAAGACUUGUGUGUGUGUGUGUGUGUGUGUGUGUGUCUUUUUAAUUCUAUUGUGUAUGCAUUUUAUUCCUCAUUUCUUACCCCCCCCCACACACACACCAUGUUUGCACGUGUGUGCGUGUGUGUAUUUGAGUGUUUGAAAAUGCCAGGUUUUUGGGGGAACAUCUUUCUAGCUGCUCUGAAGUGCCUGGCAUAUUUUAUAUGUAGUAAAACAUUCUGUAAAUACCUUUUUGUUAGGGUUCAUUUGAAAUAUUGUUUGGAGAGGAAUAGCCAUCCCUCUCCUGAGCUGACCACGUUGUGUUUGUGCCCAGGCUCCCAGAAGGAAGUCCAGAGCUCUAAGCCAUUGUGGUCCGUGAGUGGAAGGGAACCAUUAGCCCAUUUGUUUGGCUUUUCUGUGUACAUAGUAUAUGUAAAGGACAAAGGGGUACUAAGUUACAACAUCUAAUCACUCUAGAUGUGAAAGAGGUUGCCAGUGUAUGACAAAGCAGAGUUAGUAGAACAUUUUUUUUUUUUUACAUUUUGUGUUAAAGAAUUUUUAAUUACUCUUGUUACAUGUGUGCCGUUUACUGGACUGUUGUGUACAUAAAGGACAACAGUCCUUACUUGAAACAUCUGAUCUAUCGAGAUGUUUAGAAGUGCCCAACGUAUGUUAAAGCUAGAGGUAGUAAAAUAACACUUUGUAAAUAUCUUUUGCAGAAACACAUGAACCAUUGUCUUUUGGGAGUGGAGUGAUGAGGUGAGCCCCUCUGGUCAGUACUUGCUCAGGGGUUUGGAGGAGGUGCUGGGGCAGUGACAACGGACUUGUAGCAGUGUGUGUAUAUGGGACCUUUUCAGAUGCCAUUUCGAUAUACUUGCAUUUUGUUUUGCUUUCAUACAAGAUUGUCUUUUGAAGAGUUGUAAAAGAAUGCCAUCCAAGUGACCAGUGCGGUGCCUGUGUCACGGACGGACACAGCGGAGGAGUUGAAGGGGAAGAAAGGUCGGAGACCAGAAUGUUUUCACCAGAAGACACUGUGAGAUCUAAAUAGUUCCAUGUGUGGUUUCAGCACUACUAUGUACAUAGGGGACAAAUGUAUGUCCUCAUCUGAAACAUCUAGUCCUUCUAGGUGUUUAGAAGUGCACAAAGUAUGUUAAAAGUAGACAUAGUAAAAAUGUGUAUUGUAGA